Molecule: ribosomal RNA, 490 nt
Filed under: uncultured bacterium
Lineage: Bacteria
Description: partial 16S ribosomal RNA
Rfam family: Bacterial small subunit ribosomal RNA
Source: RNAcentral
AUUGAACGCUGGCGGCAGGCCUAACACAUGCAAGUCGAAUGGUAACAGGAAACAGCUUGCUGUUUCGCUGACGAGUGGCGGACGGGUGAGUAAUGUCUGGGAAACUGCCUGAUGGAGGGGGAUAACUACUGGAAACGGUAGCUAAUACCGCAUAACGUCGCAAGACCAAAGAGGGGGACCUUCUGGCCUCUUGCCAUCAGAUGUGCCCAGAUGGGAUUAGCUAGUAGGUGGGGUAACGGCUCACCUAGGCGACGAUCCCUAGCUGGUCUGAGAGGAUGACCAGCCACACGGGAACUGAGACACGGUCCAGACUCCUACGGGAGGCAGCAGUGGGGAAUAUUGCACAAGGGGCGAAAGCCUGAUGAAGCCAGGCCGCGUGUAUGAAGAAGGCCGUCGGGUUGUAAAGUACUUUCAGCGGGGAGGAAGGGAGUAAAGUUAAUACCUUUGCUCAUUGACGUUACCCGCAGAAGAAGCACCGGCUAACUCCGUG